RNAcentral lists this ribosomal RNA (440 nucleotides) under uncultured bacterium. RNAcentral describes it as "partial 16S ribosomal RNA". It matches the Rfam family "Bacterial small subunit ribosomal RNA", at positions 338 to 795 of the family's 1533-position model. The record is from RNAcentral.
CCUACGGGAGGCAGCAGUGGGGGAUAUUGCACAAUGGGGGAAACCCUGAUGCAGCGACGCCGCGUGUGGGAAGACGGUCUUCUGGAUUGUAAACCACUGUACCCAGGGACGAAAAUGACGGUACCUGGGGAGGAAGCUCCGGCUAACUACGAGCCAGACGCCGCGGUAAUCAGUAGGGAGGAAGCGUUGUCAGGAAUUACUGGGUGUAAAGGGAGCGUAGGCGGGGAUGCAAGUCGGGUGUCAAAACUACCGGCUCAACCGAUAGUCGUACUCAAAACUGCAGCUCUUGAGUGAAGUAGAGGCAGGCGGAAUUCCUAGUGUAGCGGUGAAAUGCGUAGAUAUUAGGAGGAACACCAGUGGCGAAGGCGGCCUGCUGGGCUUUUACUGACGCUGAGGCUCGAAAGUGUAGGGAGCAAACAGGAUUAGAUACCCGAGUAGUC